GACCCAAUGGCACAACGGUUGGUGUGCUUGCUUUACUUAGUACACGAGUUAUGAAUAAGCAAGAGGUCUCCCGUUCGAUUCGGGGUUGGGUCA
Non-coding RNA from Mycena alexandri, 93 nucleotides. Lineage: Eukaryota; Fungi; Basidiomycota; Agaricomycetes; Agaricales; Mycenaceae. The record is from the annotation of a GenBank genome assembly.